Molecule: small nuclear RNA, 107 nt
Filed under: Dasypus novemcinctus (nine-banded armadillo)
Lineage: Eukaryota; Metazoa; Chordata; Mammalia; Cingulata; Dasypodidae
Source: RNAcentral
GUGUUCGCUUUGGCAGCACAUAUUCUAAAACUGAAACAAUAAAGAGAAGAUUAACAUGGCCCCUAAGCAAAGAUAACAUGCAAAUUUGUGAUGCAUUCCGUAUUUUU